GGAUUGUGGCUCAGUGGUAGAGAGUUCGCCAGCACAUGCGAAGCCCUGGGUUUGAUCCCCGGCACCA
Molecule: transfer RNA, 67 nt
Filed under: Marmota monax (woodchuck)
Lineage: Eukaryota; Metazoa; Chordata; Mammalia; Rodentia; Sciuridae
Description: tRNA.Undet
Source: RNAcentral